CCUACGGGAGGCAGCAGUGGGGAAUAUUCCACAAUGGGCGAAAGCCUGAUGCAGCGACGCCGCGUGAACGAAGAAGUAUUUCGGUAUGUAAAGUUCUAUCAGCAGGGAAGAAAAAAUGACGGUACCUGACUAAGAAGCUCCGGCUAAAUACGUGCCAGCAGCCGCGGUAAU
This 171-nucleotide ribosomal RNA is filed under the name uncultured rumen bacterium. RNAcentral describes it as "partial 16S ribosomal RNA". It matches the Rfam family "Bacterial small subunit ribosomal RNA", at positions 338 to 524 of the family's 1533-position model. The record is from RNAcentral.